This 468-nucleotide ribosomal RNA is filed under the name uncultured bacterium. RNAcentral's name for it is "partial 16S ribosomal RNA". It matches the Rfam family "Bacterial small subunit ribosomal RNA", at positions 28 to 507 of the family's 1533-position model. The record is from RNAcentral.
GACGAACGCUGGCGGCGUGCUUAACACAUGCAAGUCGAACGGAAAGGCCCUGCUUUUGUGGGGUGCUCGAGUGGCGAACGGGUGAGUAACACGUGAGUAACCUGCCCUUGACUUUGGGAUAACUUCAGGAAACUGGGGCUAAUACUGGAUAGGAGUUCCUGCUGCAUGGUGGGGGUAGGCAAGUUUCGGGGGUUGGGGAUGGACUCGCGGCUUAUCAGCUUGUUGGUGGGGUAGUGGCUUACCAAGGCUUUGACGGGUAGCCGGCCUGAGAGGGUGACCGGCCACAUUGGGACUGGAAUACGGCCCGGACUCCUCCGGGAGGCAGCAGUGGGGAAUAUUGCACAAUGGGCGGAAGCCUGAUGCAGCAACGCCGCGUGCGGGAUGACGGCCUUCGGGUUGUAAACCGCUUUCGCCUGUGACGAAGCGUGAGUGACGGUAAUGGGUAAAGAAGCACCGGCUAACUACGUG